UACGUAGGGACCGAGCGUUGUCCGGAAUCAUUGGGCGUAAAGCGCGUGUAGGCGGCUUGAUAAGUCCGCUCUGAAAGCCCGGGGCUCAACCCCGGGAGGCGGGUGGAUACUGUCAAGCUCGAGUCCGGAAGAGGCGAGUGGAAUUCCUGGUGUAGCGGUGAAAUGCGCAGAUAUCAGGAGGAACACCAAUGGCGAAGGCAGCUCGCUGGGACGUGACUGACGCUGAGACGCGAAAGCGUGGGGAGCAAACAGG
Molecule: ribosomal RNA, 253 nt
Filed under: uncultured bacterium
Lineage: Bacteria
Description: partial 16S ribosomal RNA
Rfam family: Bacterial small subunit ribosomal RNA
Source: RNAcentral